CGGCGGACGGGGGAGUAACGCGUGGGUAACCGUGCCUCAUACAGGGGAGUAACAGUUGGAAACGGCUGCUAAUACCGCAUAAGCGCACAGUACCGCAUGGUACGGUGUGAAAAACUCCGGUGGUAUGAGAUGGACCCGCGUCUGAUUAGGUAGUUGGUGGGGUAACGGCCUACCAAGCCGACGAUCAGUAGCCGACCUGAGAGGGUGACCGGCCACAUUGGGACUGAGACACGGCCCAA
This 239-nucleotide ribosomal RNA is filed under the name uncultured bacterium. RNAcentral's name for it is "partial 16S ribosomal RNA". It matches the Rfam family "Bacterial small subunit ribosomal RNA", at positions 96 to 334 of the family's 1533-position model. The record is from RNAcentral.